RNAcentral lists this long non-coding RNA (261 nucleotides) under Ficedula albicollis (Collared flycatcher). RNAcentral describes it as "lncRNA (ENSFALG00000023454.1)". The record is from RNAcentral. Lineage: Eukaryota; Metazoa; Chordata; Aves; Passeriformes; Muscicapidae.
AGUCUCGUCACAAUGUCUCUGAAGGGCCUUGACUUCAUAUGUGCUAAUAAGGAAAAGCUUUGCCUUAAUUUUAGACCUUCGAAAUUCUCAUUGGUUUGUGCAGGGUGUGGCCACUUGGAAUUUAGGCAAGACUUCAGACGCUUCUGGCAUAGCACAGCACAGCCAGCUGGAAUAAACCAUGAAGGAAAAGGAUCUUGGACAAAAGUACCAGGCAGCCUCAGAGGAAGACCCUCCAGAGAAAGCUCACGAGCAAUAUCCUGA